This 253-nucleotide ribosomal RNA is filed under the name uncultured bacterium. RNAcentral's name for it is "partial 16S ribosomal RNA". It matches the Rfam family "Bacterial small subunit ribosomal RNA", at positions 524 to 776 of the family's 1533-position model. The record is from RNAcentral.
AACGUAGGAGACAAACGUUAUCCGGAGUUACUGGGCGUAAAGGGCGUGUAGGCGGUUUGUUAAGUUUGGCGUGAAAGCUCUCGGCUAAACCGGGAGAGGUCGUUGGAUACUGGCAAACUAGAGGACGGUAGAGGCGUGUGGAAUUCCGGGUGUAGUGGUGAAAUGCGUAGAGAUCCGGAGGAACACUAGUGGCGAAAGCGCUCUACUGGGCCAUAACUGACACUGAGGGACGAAAGCUAGGGGAGCGAAAGGG